CAUGCUCAGAUGAACGCUGGCGGCAGGCCUAACACAUGCAAGUCGAACGGUAACAGGAAGCAGCUUGCUUCUUCGCUGACGAGUGGCGGACGGGUGAGUAAUGUCUGGGAAACUGCCUGAUGGAGGGGGAUAACUACUGGAAACGGUAGCUAAUACCGCAUAACGUCGCAAGACCAAAGAGGGGGACCUUCGGGCCUCUUGCCAUCGGAUGUGCCCAGAUGGGAUUAGCUAGUAGGUGGGGUAACGGCUCACCUAGGCGACGAUCCCUAGCUGGUCUGAGAGGAUGACCAGCCACACUGGAACUGAGACACGGUCCAGACUCCUACGGGAGGCAGCAGUGGGGAAUAUUGCACAAUGGGCGCAAGCCUGAUGCAGCCAUGCCGCGUGUAUGAAGAAGGCCUUCGGGUUGUAAAGUACUUUCAGCGGGGAGGAAGGGAGUAAAGUUAAUACCUUUGCUCAUUGACGUACCCGCAGAAGAAGCACCGGCUA
RNAcentral lists this ribosomal RNA (489 nucleotides) under Escherichia coli. RNAcentral's name for it is "bacterial SSU rRNA". It matches the Rfam family "Bacterial small subunit ribosomal RNA", at positions 19 to 499 of the family's 1533-position model. The record is from RNAcentral. Lineage: Bacteria; Pseudomonadati; Pseudomonadota; Gammaproteobacteria; Enterobacterales; Enterobacteriaceae.